Molecule: ribosomal RNA, 471 nt
Filed under: uncultured bacterium
Lineage: Bacteria
Description: partial 16S ribosomal RNA
Rfam family: Bacterial small subunit ribosomal RNA
Source: RNAcentral
GACGAACGCUGGCGGCGUGCUUAACACAUGCAAGUCGAACGAUGAAGCCUAGCUUGCUAGGUGGAUUAGUGGCGAACGGGUGAGUAAUACGUGAGUAACCUACCUUUAACUCUGGGAUAAGCCCGGGAAACUGGGUCUAAUACCGGAUACGACCAAUCUCCGCAUGGGGUGUUGGUGGAAAGCGUUAUGUAGUGGUUAUAGAUGGGCUCACGGCCUAUCAGCUUGUUGGUGAGGUAACGGCUCACCAAGGCGACGACGGGUAGCCGGCCUGAGAGGGUGACCGGCCACAGUGGGAAGGAGAACGGGCCGGGACCCCUGCGGGGGGAGGGGGGGGGAAAUUGUGAACAGGGGGCGCAAGCCGGAUGCAGCGCCGCCGCGUGGGGGAGGACGGCCUGCGGUUUGAAACCCUUUGUUGGCAGGAAAGAAGGGAGAUGGAGGGUCCUGGAAGAGAAGGCGCCGGCAAACUAGGGC